RNAcentral lists this ribosomal RNA (352 nucleotides) under uncultured bacterium. Its description in RNAcentral is "bacterial SSU rRNA". It matches the Rfam family "Bacterial small subunit ribosomal RNA", at positions 8 to 350 of the family's 1533-position model. The record is from RNAcentral.
AGAGUUUGAUCAUGGCUCAGGAUGAACGCUAGCUACAGGCUUAACACAUGCAAGUCGAGGGGAAACGACAUCGAAAGCUUGCUUUUGAUGGGCGUCGACCGGCGCACGGGUGAGUAACGCGUAUCCAACCUGCCCACCACUUGGGGAUAACCUUGCGAAAGUAAGACUAAUACCCAAUGACGUCUCUAGAAGACAUCUGAAAAGAGAUUAAAGAUUUAUCGGUGAUGGAUGGGGAUGCGUCUGAUUAGCUUGUUGGCGGGGUAACGGCCACAAGGCGACGAUCAGUAGGGGUUCUGAGAGGAAGGUCCCCCCANAUUGGAACUGAGACACGGUCCAAAUCCUACGGGAGGCA